GAUGAACGCUGGCGGCGUGCCUAAUACAUGCAAGUCGAGCGAACAGACGAGGAGCUUGCUCCUCUGACGUUAGCGGCGGACGGGUGAGUAACACGUGGAUAACCUACCUAUAAGACUGGGAUAACUUCGGGAAACCGGAGCUAAUACCGGAUAAUAUAUUGAACCGCAUGGUUCAAUAGUGAAAGACGGUUUUGCUGUCACUUAUAGAUGGAUCCGCGCCGCAUUAGCUAGUUGGUAAGGUAACGGCUUACCAAGGCAACGAUGCGUAGCCGACCUGAGAGGGUGGUCGGCCGCACUGGAACGGGGACACGGUCCAGACUCCUACGGGAGGCAGCAGUAGGGAAUCUUCCGCAAUGGGCGAAAGCAUGACGGAGCAACGCCGCGUGAGUGAUGAAAGUCUUCGGAUCGUAAAACUCUGUUAUUAGGGAAGAACAGAUGUGUAAGUAACUAUGCACGUCUUGACGGUACCUAAUCAGAAAGCCACGGCUAACUACGUG
RNAcentral lists this ribosomal RNA (497 nucleotides) under uncultured bacterium. RNAcentral describes it as "partial 16S ribosomal RNA". It matches the Rfam family "Bacterial small subunit ribosomal RNA", at positions 28 to 507 of the family's 1533-position model. The record is from RNAcentral.